GCGAACGCUGGCGGCAUGCCUAAUACAUGCAAGUCGAACGAUGCCUUCGGGCAGAGUGGCGGACGGGUGAAUAACACGUGGGAAUCUACCCAAUAGUACGGAACAACCACUGGAAACGGUGGCUAAUACCGUAUAUUCCCUUCGGGGGAAAGAUUUAUCGCUAUUGGAGGAGCCUGCGUCUGAUUAGCUAGUUGGUGAGGUAACGGCUCACCAAGGCGACGAUCAGUAGCUGGAUUGAGAGGAUGAUCAGCCACACUGGGACUGAGACACGGCCCAGACUCCUACGGGAGGCAGCAGUAGGGAAUAUUGGACAAUGGGGGAAACCCUGAUCCAGCAAUGCCGCGUGUGUGAAGAAGGCCUUAGGGUUGUAAAGCACUUUCGAUGGGGAAGAUGAUGACGGUACCCAUAGAAGAAGCUCCGGCUAACUCCGU
RNAcentral lists this ribosomal RNA (431 nucleotides) under uncultured bacterium. Its description in RNAcentral is "partial 16S ribosomal RNA". It matches the Rfam family "Bacterial small subunit ribosomal RNA", at positions 29 to 506 of the family's 1533-position model. The record is from RNAcentral.